Molecule: long non-coding RNA, 923 nt
Filed under: Trifolium pratense (red clover)
Lineage: Eukaryota; Viridiplantae; Streptophyta; Magnoliopsida; Fabales; Fabaceae
Description: long non-coding RNA (TPRA_LNC013130)
Source: RNAcentral
ACGAUUAGAUUAAAUCAAAAAUGAUUAUGCCCAAUGUCUUGGUAACAUAAUCCUCUCCCUUGAUCAUCGAUUCCUAAUGUCUUAGGUAAUCUAUGAUCAAUUGAGGAUUACAAACUUUAAUCUAUAAAAUAUCAAUUAACAAUCCGAAAUGUCUUAAGUGAAAGUUAAUCGAUCAAUUAUUCCUAGAUCGAUGAUUCAUUCCUAUCGUCAUAGUAAAAUAAAUCAUUGAAUUCAUCAUAUAAGUAGCUAAUUCAUAUAAAGCAUUAAGCAUAAGGAAUAAUCAAAGAAACUAACUUCGUAAUUCAUAUAUCAAUUCAAAUGAGAAUCACAUGCUUCAAGAGAAAUAGAAAUCAGAAUCCCCUAAGGACCAAUCAUAGGAAUUUAGUUACACAUACUGAAAUAAAAAUGAAACAAUGAAGCUAAAACCAUAGAAUAGGCGUGAUGUGGGAGCUGCUUGUUUCUUUCAAUCCUCCACCACUAUGCUUCAAUGUUCUUUGUCCUGUAGCGCCUCCAGCCUCUCUGUUUUCGUCCGUGAUGCGUGCCUCCUAAAUCCCCACUGUUCCUGUGCGUGAUGUAUCUCCCGCAGCACUCCCCUUCUCAUUGUUGUGUUGCCUUUAAUAUAUUUCCAACCAAUGAAACCUAAACACCUCACUUUUUGAUCCGGGUCAACAAGACUUAAAGCCCAUCAUUCCUUUUAAUUUGUCCAUGAUAUUAAAAUAGUGUACUCCACUUUGGUCAAACACAAUAUGUCAAUAGCUUCAACAAAUAAAAACUACAUAAAAUAUCAUAUUAUUCGAUAAAAUGCUUAAUUGACUCGGUAAAUAAAAAAUCACAAUUUAUUUAAAAUGACUCUAAAUUAAACACUAAAUUAAUAAAAUGAUAUUAAAACUUCAUUAAAAAGACUCUAAAAAUAGCGACUGNNN